CGGACGGGUGAGUAACGCGUGGGUAACCUGCCUCAUACAGGGGGAUAACAGUUAGAAAUGACUGCUAAUACCGCAUAAGACCACAGCACCGCAUGGUGCGGGGGUAAAAACUCCGGUGGUAUGAGAUGGACCCGCGUCUGAUUAGCUAGUUGGUAAGGUAACGGCUUACCAAGGCGACGAUCAGUAGCCGACCUGAGAGGGUGACCGGCCACAUUGGGACUGAGACACGGCUCAA
This 235-nucleotide ribosomal RNA is filed under the name uncultured bacterium. Its description in RNAcentral is "partial 16S ribosomal RNA". It matches the Rfam family "Bacterial small subunit ribosomal RNA", at positions 99 to 334 of the family's 1533-position model. The record is from RNAcentral.